CUGAGUUGUACUAAUUCACACACACACACACACACACACACACACACACACACACACACACACACACACACACAAUACAAAGGUCAGAAACAAGUAAAAUAUUUAACUGAAACUAAUUGAAAAUAUUUUUAAUACAAUAAAAUCUACAAGGAAUCAGCAGUUCAGAGAAAAAAUGAUGGAAAUGAGAGACUGUGUGUGUGUGUGUGUGUCUGUGUGUGUGUCUGUCUGUGUGUGUAUAUGUGUGUGUGUGUGUGUGUCUGUGUGUGUGUGUCUGUGUGUGUGUGUGUGUGUGUGUGUGUGUGUGUGUGUGUGUGUGUGUGUGUGUGUGUGGACAGAGAGAGAGCGAGAGAGAGAGAGAAAUAGAAAGCCAUGAACGACGUAUCAAAUGCGAUGGAAUGGUAUAACAAUAGUGGUGUGUGUGUGUGUGUGUGUGUGUGUGUGAGUUCAGAAAGUCAAUCAGAGUAAUGUAUGUGUAACAUUAUAGAUUUUAAUAUAUAUUUUAUAUUAUUCAUUCUGAUUUUACACACAUAUUGAAAAAGUUUGUUAUUGUAUUUGUGAUAACGUAUAGAAUUGUGACAAAUAUUUUAUUUUAAAUAUAAUUUAUAAUAAUAUUGAUGCUGAAUAGUACCAAAAAUAUAAAUCAUAUUAUAAUAGAGUGUAUAUAAAUAUACAAUAUUAUACAUU
This is a long non-coding RNA of Ictalurus punctatus (channel catfish), 684 nucleotides long. NCBI's taxonomy places the organism in Eukaryota, Metazoa, Chordata, Actinopteri, Siluriformes, Ictaluridae. The record is from Ensembl.